This 92-nucleotide transfer RNA is filed under the name Thermoflexia bacterium. RNAcentral's name for it is "tRNA-Ser". It matches the Rfam family "tRNA". From Rfam's summary of the family: Transfer RNA (tRNA) molecules are approximately 80 nucleotides in length. The record is from RNAcentral. Lineage: Bacteria; Bacillati; Chloroflexota; Thermoflexia.
GGAGAGGUAGCGUAGCCUGGUCUAACGCGCGCGCCUGGAGAGCGCGUGAGCCGGAAACGGCUCCGUGGGUUCGAAUCCCACCCUCUCCGCCU